AUACACACGCUUUGGGUGAGAGAAGUACCGUUGCUAUGGCUGCUUGUAGGAAACAUUCCACUUCAGAACACUGGAAAUUCCUAUCAAUGCUCCUGUCAGCUGGGGGUGCAUCAGUUCUUUCAGUAAGUAGGAUUCUCUCCCCACUCUAAGUGAUCCCGAGUGCUUUCACGACUGAGGAAACCCUGUGCAAUUCUGUGAAGCUGGUAUUCUCAGGAUCAGAAGGAGACAGUCUACGGAUAAAGAAAUGAAGACGUGCAUGAAGCUGGGGCUGUGUGAGCUUACUAUUCAGGGGAGAAAAAAGAAAACAGUGUUGGAAAAUCAGUACCUUACCAGACCCGGAGUCUUAUAGCAGAUGUGAUAAGAAAUGAAAUAAUACUUAGCAGAGUCAAAGAGAUAUCUGUUCAAUUAUCAAUUCUAUUUUGAAUGCGAAACUUGAGACUGUGCUUUACUCUUUCUAGGUUCUGUACCUUGAUCUGUAAAAUAGGAUGCUGAUGCCUCCCAAUCAGGAUUUAAUGGACACAAAAAUGAUUUUUAAAAAUGUUUACAUAGGUUUCAGCAUUGCGUUUGACAGGCAAUCACCAUCAGAUCAAGGACAAUAUUCUUCUUUUCCUUUCUUCCAUGAAGACGUAAGGAAAAUAUUUGAUCUAUUUUAAUCUGCAUCUUAUAGAAAACCUCACACAAAGCAAAGACAGACUUUUCUAAACUGAUAAAAUGCAGAAUUCCUCUGUGGAAAUCCCGAAGGCCAAUGACAUCUGAGAACAGUUUUUGUUCAUGAAGAUGAAUGGGAUCAAUUGCAUGAUGCUUAAUCUGCCUCUUCAAGUUAGUUGCCCUUCUCCAGGAAACUAAGUAUAGCAUUGAUCUGCAUUUGUCUAUUUUGACCGCCUCCUGAUUACACCAUCAUUCUAUGAGGCUGCAGGUGUGCACAGACUCCAAGCACCCUUCCCAUCAUGCUUGAUGCCACUGUAUUCCUGACACGGAAGAGGAUUCCCAAAGCCAAUUCACAAAAUAUUCUCAAAUCUGAUCCAGUACUAUGGUGGCUUUGUUCAGAAACACAAGGCAAGGCUGAAGACGAAGCCCCCAUGAGGCAGGUGCUUAAGCACAGGACAAAUGGGUGCAGUUGCCUGGUUCAGAUGAUUUCUGGAUUACUCUUCCUGGAUUACCGUUGUGUUUUCUUAUACAUGGGUUAUUUUUUUUCUCCCUGAGCAUUUUAACCAUAGUUAAAUUGCCUUUUUGAUCUUUUCAGUAUCUGUGCCCUGGUGAGGUCUGACUCUGUCAUACUCUUUGUGUCUUUUUUCUCUCUUUUGGCAGGCGCUGUAAUUUUUGUUGAAAGCAUGUAUAUUGGAUCAUAUAAUAGUUACCAAAUAAACUGUUGUUUCACAAGAA
Rattus norvegicus (Norway rat) is the source of this 1383-nucleotide long non-coding RNA. RefSeq lists it as uncharacterized. The record is from RefSeq and is a predicted model, not a curated record. NCBI's taxonomy places the organism in Eukaryota, Metazoa, Chordata, Mammalia, Rodentia, Muridae.